RNAcentral lists this ribosomal RNA (541 nucleotides) under uncultured Pseudozyma. RNAcentral's name for it is "eukaryotic LSU rRNA". It matches the Rfam family "Eukaryotic large subunit ribosomal RNA", at positions 134 to 656 of the family's 3401-position model. Lineage: Eukaryota; Fungi; Basidiomycota; Ustilaginomycetes; Ustilaginales; Ustilaginaceae. The record is from RNAcentral.
GCGUCCGCAUUGUAAUCUCAAGAAGUGUUUUCCGCUUCGGACCAUGCCUAAGUCCCUUGGAAAAGGGCAUCAUAGAGGGUGAUAAUCCCGUACAUGGCAUGGAGCGCCCGAAGCUUUGUGAUACGCUUUCUAAGAGUCGAGUUGUUUGGGAAUGCAGCUCAAAAUGGGUGGUAAAUGCCAUCUAAGGCUAAAUAUUGGGGAGAGACCGAUAGCGAACAAGUACAGUGAUGGAAAGAUGAAAAGAACUUUGAAAAGAGAGUUAAACAGUACGUGAAAUUGCCAAAAGGGAAGGGUAGGAGGUCAGAGAUGCGGCCUGGGAUUCAGCCUUGCUUUUGCUUGGUGUUUUUCCCAGAUUGCAGGCCAACGUCGGUUUUGGGCACUGGAGAAGGGUAGGAGGAACGUGGCACCUCUCGGGGUGUGUUAUAGCCUCCUACUGGAUACAGCGACCGAGACCGAGGACAGCAGCGUACUCGCAAGAGCGGGCCUUCGGGCACCUUUACGCUUAGGGCGUUGGCAUAAUGGCCCUCUACCACCCGUCUUG